AGCUCCAAUAGCGUAUAUUACAAUAGUUGCGGAUAAAAAGCUCGUAGUUAGAUUUCUGUUGAGGACGACUGGUCCGCCCUCUGGGUGAGCAUCUGGUACGGCCUGGGCAUCUUCUUGGAGAACGUAACUGCACUUGACUGUGUGGAGCGGUAUCCAGGACUUUUACUAAAGAAACAAAAAUGUUUCGAGCAGGCACACGCCUUGAAUACAUUAGUGUGGAAUAAUAAGAUGGGACCUCGGUUCUAUUUUGUUGGUUUCUAGAAUUGAGGUAAUGAUUAAUAGGGAUAAUUGGGGGCAUUCGUAUUUAACUGUCAGAGGUGAUAUUCUUGUUUUUUUUUUAAGACGGACUACUGCGAAGGCAUUUGCCAAGGAUGUUUUCA
RNAcentral lists this ribosomal RNA (380 nucleotides) under uncultured eukaryote. RNAcentral's name for it is "partial small subunit ribosomal RNA". It matches the Rfam family "Eukaryotic small subunit ribosomal RNA", at positions 587 to 972 of the family's 1831-position model. The record is from RNAcentral.